GACGAACGCUGGCGGCGUGCUUAACACAUGCAAGUCGAACGGAAAGGCCCUGCUUUUGUGGGGUGCUCGAGUGGCGAACGGGUGAGUAACACGUGAGUAACCUGCCCUUGACUUUGGGAUAACUUCAGGAAACUAGGGCUAAUACCGGAUAGGAGCUCCUGCUGCAUGGUGGGGGUUGGAAAGUUUCGGCGGUUGGGGAUGGACUCGCGGCUUAUCAGCUUGUUGGUGGGGUAGUGGCUUACCAAGGCUUUGACGGGUAGCCGGCCUGAGAGGGUGACCGGCCACAUUGGGACUGAGAGACGGCCCAGACUCCUACGGGAGGCAGCAGUGGGGAAUAUUGCACAAUGGGCGGAAGCCUGAUGCAGCAACGCCGCGUGCGGGAUGACGGCCUUCGGGUUGUAAACCGCUUUCGCCUGUGACGAAGCGUGAGUGACGGUAAUGGGUAAAGAAGCACCGGCUAACUACGUG
RNAcentral lists this ribosomal RNA (468 nucleotides) under uncultured bacterium. Its description in RNAcentral is "partial 16S ribosomal RNA". It matches the Rfam family "Bacterial small subunit ribosomal RNA", at positions 28 to 507 of the family's 1533-position model. The record is from RNAcentral.